Molecule: ribosomal RNA, 253 nt
Filed under: uncultured bacterium
Lineage: Bacteria
Description: partial 16S ribosomal RNA
Rfam family: Bacterial small subunit ribosomal RNA
Source: RNAcentral
UACGGGGGGGGCAAGCGUUGUUCGGAAUUACUGGGCGUAAAGGGCUCGUAGGCGGCCAACUAAGUCAGACGUGAAAUCCCCAGGCUCAACCUGGGAACUGCGUCUGAUACUGGAUGGCUUGAAUUCGGGAGAGGGAUGCAGAAUUCCAGGUGUAGCGGUGAAAUGCGUAGAUAUCUGGAGGAAUACCGGUGGCGAAGGCGGGUCUCUGGGCAAUUCCUGACGCUGAGGCGCGAAAGCGUGGGGAGCAAACGGG